Saimiri boliviensis boliviensis (Bolivian squirrel monkey) is the source of this 520-nucleotide long non-coding RNA. RefSeq lists it as uncharacterized. NCBI's taxonomy places the organism in Eukaryota, Metazoa, Chordata, Mammalia, Primates, Cebidae. The record is from RefSeq and is a predicted model, not a curated record.
UAAUGUCAAGAAACAUGACUCGUGCUUCCUUGGUUUCCCUGGGAGAAAGAUUACUGUUAGGUGUCUAAAGAAGGUCUAUAAGCUAUCCCAAGAAUAAGGAAUGCAGAUACCGGAAGAAUGGUUCUUCUGAAUGGAGGCUACAUGAUUUCUUUACUCUGCAUAACACUGAGGGUCAUUAACCUAAACAGGUGAGAAGGAAAAGCAUUUAAUCUGGUGUAUAGAAAUUGAAGCCCUCCUGCAAACUUCUCUAAAUAAGGAAGGAUCCUGAUUUUAAAGGAUGUUUGGCAGCAACUAAAGCAAACAGACUAGAAGAGAAUAUUUGCGGCAACUAUAAAUCUGACUAAGGAAACUGUUAGAGUUGCCAGAGUUGGAGAGAAUGGAUUGACCCAUCAGUGCACUGUGCCUCAGUUCUUUCUCUUCAUGACACUGGAGACGACCUGUCAUCACACCUUCCGCACACCUGCUCUUCCCUGUCUUGGAAACUGGCAGUCCCAAUCCCAAUUACCCAGACAAAAAAACU